GACGAACGCUGGCGGCGUGCCUAAUACAUGCAAGUCGAACGAACUCUGGUAUUGAUUGGUGCUUGCAUCAUGAUUUACAUUUGAGUGAGUGGCGAACUGGUGAGUAACACGUGGGAAACCUGCCCAGAAGCGGGGGAUAACACCUGGAAACAGAUGCUAAUACCGCAUAACAACUUGGACCGCAUGGUCCGAGCUUGAAAGAUGGCUUCGGCUAUCACUUUUGGAUGGUCCCGCGGCGUAUUAGCUAGAUGGUGGGGUAACGGCUCACCAUGGCAAUGAUACGUAGCCGACCUGAGAGGGUAAUCGGCCACAUUGGGACUGAGACACGGCCCAAACUCCUACGGGAGGCAGCAGUAGGGAAUCUUCCACAAUGGACGAAAGUCUGAUGGAGCAACGCCGCGUGAGUGAAGAAGGGUUUCGGCUCGUAAAACUCUGUUGUUAAAGAAGAACAUAUCUGAGAGUAACUGUUCAGGUAUUGACGGUAUUUAACCAGAAAGCCACGGCUAACUACGUGCCAGCAGCCGCGGUAAUACGUAGGUGGCAAGCGUUGUCCGGAUUUAUUGGGCGUAAAGCGAGCGCAGGCGGUUUUUUAAGUCUGAUGUGAAAGCCUUCGGCUCAACCGAAGAAGUGCAUCGGAAACUGGGAAACUUGAGUGCAGAAGAGGACAGUGGAACUCCAUGUGUAGCGGUGAAAUGCGUAGAUAUAUGGAAGAACACCAGUGGCGAAGGCGGCUGUCUGGUCUGUAACUGACGCUGAGGCUCGAAAGUAUGGGUAGCAAACAGGAUUAGAUACCCUGGUAGUCCAUACCGUAAACGAUGAAUGCUAAGUGUUGGAGGGUUCCGCCCUUCAGUGCUGCAGCUAACGCAUUAAGCAUUCCGCCUGGGGAGUACGGCCGCAAGGCUGAAACUCAAAGGAAUUGACGGGGGCCCGCACAAACGGUGGAGCAUGUGGUUUAAUUCGAAGCUACGCGAAGAACCUUACCAGGUCUUGACAUACUAUGCAAAUCUAAGAGAUUAGACGUUCCCUUCGGGGACAUGGAUACAGGUGGUGCAUGGUUGUCGUCAGCUCGUGUCGUGAGAUGUUGGGUUAAGUCCCGCAACGAGCGCAACCCUUAUUAUCAGUUGCCAGCAUUAAGUUGGGCACUCUGGUGAGACUGCCGGUGACAAACCGGAGGAAGGUGGGGAUGACGUCAAAUCAUCAUGCCCCUUAUGACCUGGGCUACACACGUGCUACAAUGGAUGGUACAACGAGUUGCGAACUCGCGAGAGUAAGCUAAUCUCUUAAAGCCAUUCUCAGUUCGGAUUGUAGGCUGCAACUCGCCUACAUGAAGUCGGAAUCGCUAGUAAUCGCGGAUCAGCAUGCCGCGGUGAAUACGUUCCCGGGCCUUGUACACACCGCCCGUCACACCAUGAGAGUUUGUAACACCCAAAGUCGGUGGGGUAACCUUUUAGGAACCAGCCGCCUAAGGUGGGACAGAUGAUUAGGGUG
RNAcentral lists this ribosomal RNA (1488 nucleotides) under Lactiplantibacillus plantarum. RNAcentral's name for it is "bacterial SSU rRNA". It matches the Rfam family "Bacterial small subunit ribosomal RNA". The record is from RNAcentral. Lineage: Bacteria; Bacillati; Bacillota; Bacilli; Lactobacillales; Lactobacillaceae.